RNAcentral lists this ribosomal RNA (253 nucleotides) under uncultured bacterium. RNAcentral describes it as "partial 16S ribosomal RNA". It matches the Rfam family "Bacterial small subunit ribosomal RNA", at positions 524 to 776 of the family's 1533-position model. The record is from RNAcentral.
UACGUAGGGUGCGAGCGUUAAUCGGAAUUACUGGGCGUAAAGCGUGCGCAGGCGGUUCGUGAUGUCUGAUGUGAAAGCCCCGGGCUCAACCUGGGAAUUGCAUUGGAAACUAGCGGGCUGGAGUGUGGCAGAGGGGGGUGGAAUUCCACGUGUAGCAGUGAAAUGCGUAGAGAUGUGGAGGAACACCGAUGGCGAAGGCAGCCCCCUGGGCUAACACUGACGCUCAUGCACGAAAGCGUGGGGAGCGAACAGG